RNAcentral lists this unclassified non-coding RNA (378 nucleotides) under plant metagenome. RNAcentral's name for it is "partial contains 5.8S ribosomal RNA, internal transcribed spacer 2, and large subunit ribosomal RNA". The stretch from base 1 to 105 matches the Rfam family "5.8S ribosomal RNA", at positions 50 to 154 of the family's 154-position model. The record is from RNAcentral.
GAAAUGCGAUAAGUAAUGUGAAUUGCAGAAUUCAGUGAAUCAUCGAAUCUUUGAACGCACCUUGCGCUCUUUGGUAUUCCUUGGAGCAUGCCUGUUUGAGUAUCAUGAAAUCUUCAAAGUAAAUCUUUUGUUAACUCAAUUGGUUUCUACUUUGGUAUUGGAGGUCUUUGCAGCUUCACACCUGCUCCUCUUUGUUCAUUAGCUGGAUCUCAGUGUUAUGCUUGGUUCCACUCGGCGUGAUAAGUUAUCUAUCGCUGAGGACACUGUAAAAGGUGGCCAAGGUAAAUGCAGAUGAACCGCUUCUAAUAGUCCAUUGACUUGGACAAUACUUUUAUGAUCUGAUCUCAAAUCAGGUAGAACUACCCGCUGAACUUAAGC